Non-coding RNA from Gasterosteus aculeatus aculeatus (three-spined stickleback), 703 nucleotides. The record is from RefSeq and is a predicted model, not a curated record. NCBI's taxonomy places the organism in Eukaryota, Metazoa, Chordata, Actinopteri, Perciformes, Gasterosteidae.
AUUCAGGAGUGAAGCUGCUGUGUGCAGGACUGGAGAGUCCACACUGUAAACUGGAGACUCUCAGACUGAGUCGCUGUAAACUCUCAUGGAAAAGGUGUGAAGCUCCAUUGUAUGGCUGUAACCGCUCAAAGACAAGUUGUGAAGCUCUCUCCUCAGUUCUCAGCUCCAAGUCCUCUAGUCUGAGAGAGCUGGAUCUGAGUAACAAUGAACUGGAGGAUUCAGGAGUGAAGCUGCUCUGUGCUGGACUGGAGAGUCCACACUGUGACCUGGAGACUCUCAGGUCAGAUUAAGUUAGUUUGUCUUCAAUGAUAUAAAUGUGUUUCUAAACUAUCAGCUCCAUGCAGUGUAAAAAUGAUCUCUCUUUCUUAAUCUAUGAAUUUAUUUAUCAAUAUAUCUGAUAUUAACAUAUUUUUCAUCAGAAAUUUCACCAGAACUAUGGAGCCAGAGGAACUAAUGUAGGGGACAAAACUUGGGACUAAAAGCCUAGAAACCUUUUUGUGAAUUUGUGUUUCCAUGGCAUCACAAGAACCUUGUAGACACAACAAACUUAUUACACAACAGUUCAAAUAGACAGUGUCUGAAAAAUAAAUAAAUAUCCCAGCCUCAUUGUGAUAUUAAUACUACAGUACUUCCUGUAAACAGUAGAGCACAAUUAACUAAUUUUUUUCUCUUUUUUAAACAAAAUAAAUUGUAAAUACUUUCA